This 72-nucleotide transfer RNA is filed under the name Bos taurus (domestic cattle). It matches the Rfam family "tRNA". Rfam says of the family: Transfer RNA (tRNA) molecules are approximately 80 nucleotides in length. Their secondary structure includes four short double-helical elements and three loops (D, anti-codon, and T loops). The record is from Rfam by way of RNAcentral. RNAcentral also lists the same sequence under 4 other names. Lineage: Eukaryota; Metazoa; Chordata; Mammalia; Artiodactyla; Bovidae.
UCCCUGGUGGUCCAACAGUUAGGACUUGGUGCUCUCACUGCCAUGGCCCAGGUUCAAUCCCUGCUUGGGGAA